Molecule: ribosomal RNA, 245 nt
Filed under: Aeromonas salmonicida subsp. salmonicida 01-B526
Lineage: Bacteria; Pseudomonadati; Pseudomonadota; Gammaproteobacteria; Aeromonadales; Aeromonadaceae
Description: partial 16S ribosomal RNA
Rfam family: Bacterial small subunit ribosomal RNA
Source: RNAcentral
AGCCUGCGUCCGAUUAGCUUGUUGGUGGGGUAAAGGCUUACCAAGGCGACGAUCGGUAGCUGGUCUGAGAGGAUGAUCAGCCACACUGGAACUGAGACACGGUCCAGACUCCUACGGGAGGCAGCAGUGGGGAAUAUUGGACAAUGGGCGCAAGCCUGAUCCAGCAAUUCCGCGUGGUGAAUGAAGGUCUUCGGAUUGUAAAGCCCUUUCGACAGGGACGAUGAUGACGGUACCUGUAGAAGAAG